This 320-nucleotide long non-coding RNA is filed under the name Helianthus annuus (common sunflower). RNAcentral's name for it is "sRNA HanXRQr2_Chr11g0478031". The record is from RNAcentral. Lineage: Eukaryota; Viridiplantae; Streptophyta; Magnoliopsida; Asterales; Asteraceae.
AUGAUCAAAGCUACAAAUGCCACGGGGACAAUAACUCGUACUCUGCUCCCUGCACUUGACCUUUUAUUGUUUUUUACCGAAUCUGCCUCUGAAGGUGGCAUUCGUAUAUAAAGAGUGUCCCCUGUAUCUGCAAACGUUCUGAUAUCAAUCAAGUCACCGAACCAAAGCAAGCAACCACCUCCAGAGCCUGAUAUAUUUGCAUUUGUGUAAGCAGUACAAGAACAAUUGCUUUUACACAUCUUCUCACACUCUACAAGGGUCAUCUUCAGGUUAUACCAUGACCCCUGAGUGUCUGGUAACUUUAGAUUUGAGUAUUUGUU